GUGGCAGCAGUCGAGAAAACUCCGCAAUACACGAAAGUGUGACGGGGCUAUCCCGAGUGCCGUCCGCUGAGGAUGGCUUUUCUCUGCUGUAAGAAGGCAGAGGAAUAAGGGGAGGGCAAGCCUGGUGUCAGCCGCCGCGGUAAUACCAGCUCCCCGAGUGGUUGGGACGAUUAUUGGGUCUAAAGCGUCCGUAGCCGGCCGAGGAAGUUCCCCGUUAAAUCCGGCGAUUCAAUCGUCGGGCUGCGGAGAAUACUCCUCGGCUUGGGGGCGGGGGAGGCCGGCGGUAGUCCCGGGGUAGGGGCGAAAUCCUAUGAUCCCGGGAGGACCACCAGUGGCGAAGGCGGCCGGCCAAAACGCGCCCGACGGUGAGGGACGAAAGCUGGGGGAGCGAACGGGAUUAGAUACCCCCGUAGUCC
Molecule: ribosomal RNA, 416 nt
Filed under: uncultured archaeon
Lineage: Archaea
Description: partial 16S ribosomal RNA
Rfam family: Archaeal small subunit ribosomal RNA
Source: RNAcentral